GGUGAGGUGCGUGAGUGGUUGAAACGGGCGGUCUCGAAAACCGCUUCUCGCGUGAGCGGGACGAGGGUUCGAAUCCCUCCCUCACCU
Molecule: transfer RNA, 87 nt
Filed under: Acidobacteriota bacterium
Lineage: Bacteria; Pseudomonadati; Acidobacteriota
Also listed under: 1 other name
Description: Acidobacteria bacterium tRNA-Ser
Rfam family: tRNA
About the family: Transfer RNA (tRNA) molecules are approximately 80 nucleotides in length. Their secondary structure includes four short double-helical elements and three loops (D, anti-codon, and T loops). Further hydrogen bonds mediate the characteristic L-shaped molecular structure. tRNAs have two regions of fundamental functional importance: the anti-codon, which is responsible for specific mRNA codon recognition, and the 3' end, to which the tRNAs corresponding amino acid is attached (by aminoacyl-tRNA synthetases). tRNAs cope with the degeneracy of the genetic code in two manners: having more than one tRNA (with a specific anti-codon) for a particular amino acid; and 'wobble' base-pairing, i.e. permitting non-standard base-pairing at the 3rd anti-codon position.
Source: RNAcentral